This 329-nucleotide ribosomal RNA is filed under the name uncultured bacterium. Its description in RNAcentral is "bacterial SSU rRNA". It matches the Rfam family "Bacterial small subunit ribosomal RNA", at positions 568 to 898 of the family's 1533-position model. The record is from RNAcentral.
UGCGUAGGCGGUCCCGCAAGUCCGCUGUGAAAGCCCCGGGCUUAACCUGGGAAUGGCAGUGGAAACUAGGGGACUUGAAUCCGGCAGAGGGGGUGGAAUGCCACGUGUAGCAGUGAAAUGCGUAGAGAUGUGGCGGAACACCGAUGGCGAAGGCAGCCCCCUGGGUUGAGAUUGACGCUCAGGCACGAAAGCGUGGGGAGCAAACAGGAUUAGAUACCCUGGUAGUCCACGCCCUAAACGAUGAUCACUAGGUGUUGGGGAAGCGAUUUCUCAGUACCGCAGCUAACGCGUGAAGUGAUCCGCCUGGGGAGUACGGUCGCAAGAUUAAA